This 314-nucleotide ribosomal RNA is filed under the name uncultured Marinomonas sp. Its description in RNAcentral is "bacterial SSU rRNA". It matches the Rfam family "Bacterial small subunit ribosomal RNA", at positions 123 to 437 of the family's 1533-position model. The record is from RNAcentral. Lineage: Bacteria; Pseudomonadati; Pseudomonadota; Gammaproteobacteria; Oceanospirillales; Oceanospirillaceae.
AAUCUACCUAGUAGAGGGGGACAACAUGUGGAAACGCAUGCUAAUACCGCAUACACCCUAAGGGGGAAAGGAGGGGACUCUUCGGAGCCUUCCGCUAUUAGAUGAGCCUGCGUGAGAUUAGCUAGUUGGUAGGGUAAAGGCCUACCAAGGCGACGAUCUCUAACUGGUCUGAGAGGAUGACCAGUCACACUGGGACUGAGACACGGCCCAGACUCCUACGGGAGGCAGCAGUGGGGAAUAUUGGACAAUGGGCGGAAGCCUGAUCCAGCCAUGCCGCGUGUGUGAAGAAGGCCUUAGGGUUGUAAAGCACUUUC